UUGGAAACGCUUUGAGAAAUUCUCCUU
Molecule: non-coding RNA, 27 nt
Filed under: Homo sapiens (human)
Lineage: Eukaryota; Metazoa; Chordata; Mammalia; Primates; Hominidae
Source: RNAcentral